UUUGGGCGUAAAGAGCGCGUAGGCGGCUGUGUAAGUCGGUUGUGAAAGCCUUCCGCUCAACGGAAGAAGCGCAUCCGAUACUGCAUAGCUCGAGUGCGGGAGGGGAGAGUGGAACUUCUGGUGGAGCGGUGAAAUGCGUAGAUAUCAGAAGGAACACCGGCGGCGAAGGCGACUCUCUGGUCCGUAACUGACGCUGAGUGUGCGAAAGCUAGGGGAGCAAACGGGAUUAGAUACCCCGGUAGUCCUAGCCGUAAACGAUGGGCACUAAGUAGAGGGGUUUUGAUUAUCUCUCUGCCGGAGCUAACGCAUUAAGUGCCCCGCCUGGGGAGUACGGCCGCAAGGCUAAAACUCAAAAGAAUUGACGGGGGCUCGCACAAGCGGUGGAGCAUGUGGCUUAAUUCGAUGCAACGCGAAGAACCUUACCGGGGUUUGACAUGUUAGAAGUAGAAGCCUGAAAGGGUAACGAGCGGUAUCCAGUCCGAAACUUUCACAGGUGUUGCAUGGCUGUCGUCAGCUCGUGUCGUGAGAUGUUGGGUUAAGUCCCCUAACGAGCGAAACCCUUGUCUUUAGUUGCCAACAGGUCAAGCUGGGAACUCUAAAGAGACUGCCGUCGUCAAGACGGAGGAAGGUGGGGAUGACGUCAAGUCAUCAUGGCCCUUAUAUCCCGGGCUGCACACGUGCUACAAUGGUCGGUACAAAGGGAUGCUAAGUCGUAAGGCGGAGCGAAACCCAGAAAGCCGGUCUCAGUUCAGAUUGGAGGCUGAAACUCGCCUCCAUGAAGUAGGAAUCGCUAGUAAUCGCGGAUCAGCUACGCCGCGGUGAAUAUGUUCCCGAGCCUUGUACACACCGCCCGUCAAGCCACCCAAGCAGGAUGCACCCAAAAUCACCGACCUAACCCGUAAGGGGAGGAAGUGCUUAAGGUGUGUUUUGCGAGGAGGACUA
Molecule: ribosomal RNA, 942 nt
Filed under: uncultured anaerobic ammonium-oxidizing bacterium
Lineage: Bacteria
Description: bacterial SSU rRNA
Rfam family: Bacterial small subunit ribosomal RNA
Source: RNAcentral